UGAGGAGAUCCCCAGACGAGGGGUCACCCAGUAGCCACGGAGCAGAAGCCAGAGGGGGCUGCACUGGCGUGCCCGCCGGCUCUGCCGGCAGCCAGCUGUGCCAGAGUGAACUGAGUUGCAGGCCCCUUUGCCCUGGAAGAGGCCUGACCGAGCGACAGGCACCAGGCCCCGCCAAGUAGCCACCGGGAGUGAGCUGGUGCAUACCUGAGCGCAAAUUUUAUUUUUUAAUUUUAUUUUAUUUUUUACAAAUUGCAAUAUUUAUCUACAGCGUGCCUUUAGCGACACGUCAACAGAUCUUAAGCAAGGCGAUUGGAUGGUUUUUACUGCAAUGCAUCUUGGGAGUCGUAGUAAAUGGAUCUUUCAACUUACGGUCCUGCAGGAAUUUUUCUACUCGACACGAGGCAGAUCCUAGCUAAGUAAGUUGUGAUAAACUGUGGGUAAUUUGCAUGUUCAGUGAAAUAUUAUUUUCAGUGAUAUUAAACUGAUAUUAAACUUGAAAUGUUUUCACAGAGCAGUCUGUGUACCAAGAGAACUACUUCUGCAAAAGUUUAUUUAAUUUUUUUUGUGACGUAUUGUCAUGUGUAAGACACUUGCUUGGCCACCCAGCUAAUGUUAGUACUGCUCUAUUUUAGCAAUGUACCUUUUCUGUAAUCAAUUCAGUUUUUUUAACCCUAUUCACGUAAUUAACUCAAUAUUAACGACUUUAAUCUCGUAAUUGAUUUUUUUUCUAAAUAUGGUGUAAUAAUGCCUCGUAAUAUAAGUUAUUUCUUUGGUCACAAAUUAUUUUUGUAACCAUUUCACCAAGACAGACCUGAAAUAAUCCCUACAUGUUCCAUUUUCAUUUGCAGAAAUUACAAAGUCAAAAACCAAACCAUGCCCUUCCUGUCAGUCUCCAAACACCUGCAACAGGAAGACAUGCAGUGGAUGCCUGGGCAGCCUGAACGUAAAGGAGGGAUUGAAAAAAAACACAAGAACAGUUUAAAAACAGUAACUGGGCUGCCUCUGUUAAAAAAAACAGAAAUGCGAGCAGGGUGGUUAAUUCAGCCCAGUUGUCAGUUUCAAAACUACAUGCCCUGGGCUUCCAGCCAAUUCUGUUUCUUGGACAGUUUGACCGAAAGGGCCGUAUAGUAGGGGACGUGAUCACUCAGAUCGAACCAGCGGAAGGUGCUGCACGUGACAUCCUUAUGAAGAUGAGGAAGCUUUAUGAACACCUUCUGAGAAGUAAGAUAUGCUUUGUCCAUUAUCUGUAACCAGGUGUCCUUAUCAGGUAGCCUAUCCUAGCUGUCUUUGGGUGAUACUCAUGGUACACCCUAGAUAAGAAGGCAGGUCACCACGGGCUACACAGAGACAAACAAGAUGGUGAGGAUGAGGAUAGUUAACAGUCACCAGCUAUUCUAUUAUAUUCUACUCUACUCUAUUUUGUUCUAUUCUAUUCUAUUAUUCAGCCAAGGUUCAGACCAGUAACCUUCUUGCUGUGAGGUGACAGCUGCUCUACAUGUCCUGUUGCUAACAUGAAAAUAGUGUUAUAUAUGCCUUAUUACCUCCCAUGUGGCGUUCACAUUACCAAAGCUAGCCAUACUGAACCUCUGGUGUUACCCACCUGAACAAUUUUGUAUGUGUGUGUGUGUGUGUAUAGUAUGGUCUUUCACACUCAUGUAUAUACAAAUGUAAUUUUAAAAAUCUUCACGAAAACCAGACCUGAUAAUUCUCUUCAAGACUUUCCAGUAUAACAAAUGUUAUAUAAUGUUACCAAUAUGAACACCAAGAUUCUUAAAUAACUUAUAUACUUCUUAAGAGGUUACCUGAUUACCUCCCUGAGGUUGUUAAGGUGACCAUUGUACAAAUACUUUACUUCUUUAUAGAGCUUAUAGUUAGGGCUGGUUCAGGUCAGCCCUUAGUUAUGCUGUCAUAGGACCAGACUGCUGGGGUUAGUCCCCCCCCCCUCUCUCUGUCUGUCUCUUUGGUUGAAGAUGCAGUCACGUCUCCUUUUACUGAAAACUCUCCCCCUCUCCCUCACCACCAUCUGUAAACAUACAUGUCUCAGUAAUGCAGUUCAUGCAUGUUACUAACUAAACUUCUUCCCUGUAGUUUCUGUGCUCUCUCAUCCAGCAGGUUCCGAUGGCUCGUGGCUGCUGCUAUGGUCCUGCUUGACAUCUACUACAUAUAUUAUUACUCUCUGACUUGAUUUGAUUAAUUUAGAUUACAAUGAAGGUGUAUAAAGCAUGACGUGAAUAUAGAAGAUAUUUCAUCCUAAAAAAUUGUCAUAUGUCACAACCUAAAUUAUCCUAUUUUGUGUGUGUUUGUGUGUGGUUGUCAUUGUUGUUUGUUAUGUUUUUCCCCUGACAGUGGCAAAGUGUUGGAUGACACAUGGGAACCUGCGCAGUUUUACACACAGUAAACCAGAUCCCUGUGUGCGAUCGCACAGUUCAGUUUGUAGUUCAGCAUAAAAGUUCAAAAUAAAAUAUUUACUAUACAUUUCA
Molecule: long non-coding RNA, 2480 nt
Organism: Oreochromis aureus
Lineage: Eukaryota; Metazoa; Chordata; Actinopteri; Cichliformes; Cichlidae
Exons: 2
Source: RefSeq, a predicted model, not a curated record